RNAcentral lists this long non-coding RNA (3760 nucleotides) under Triticum aestivum (bread wheat). Its description in RNAcentral is "long non-coding RNA (TAES_LNC019926)". The record is from RNAcentral. Lineage: Eukaryota; Viridiplantae; Streptophyta; Magnoliopsida; Poales; Poaceae.
GUUUAUCCCGGCCGGCCAGCUACACCACAUAGGACAUAGCUCUAGCUCUGCCCCAUCACGGGGUGCUUUCUUGACCCCUUCCAUUUCCUAGUGCCUGCAACAGCAAGCGCCUUCGUCCUCCUGGUUAGUGCCCCGAAUUCACCUCUCUUAUGCCUUCUUGAUUUGUUCUCAAGUGUUAAUGUUCGAGUGUUUGGGUUAUGUUUAUCUGUUACUGGAGAAAAUAUCUGAUUCUUGCAGCGCUUUNNNNNNNNNNNNNNNNNNNNNNNNNNNNNNNNNNNNNNNNNNNNNNNNNNNNNNNNNNNNNNNNNNNNNNNNNNNNNNNNNNNNNNNNNNNNNNNNNNNNNNNNNNNNNNNNNNNNNNNNNNNNNNNNNNNNNNNNNNNNNNNNNNNNNNNNNNNNNNNNNNNNNNNNNNNAUGCCAACAGAGAUUUACUCUCCCCCUCCCCCUUCUCUCUCUCUCUCUCACACACACACAUAAACUUUUUUUUGUCUGCAACACAAAAUCUAUGGUCAAAAUGGAUCAGAAAAGAUAAUCAAGUUUGAAAUCUGCAACACAAAGAAAUUAUCAGUGUUGCAGCAUACUAGGAGUGGGAAAGCAUAACGACGUCCAUUUUACACGCAUGUAAAUCACACCUGUAUUGGGCCUGGACAUCCACGGUUUUUUUAAUUAUAUUUUAAGUAUAUAUACAGGUUUCUUUUUGUUUUCUUCGAUGGGGAAAAGGAAUACAGAUAAGCCAAGAAAGCUGACAGAGAACAUGUCUGACCUGUCUUUGUUCUUAUAGGUUGGUGUUUUCGAUGUCUUCACCUCAUCUUGCGGAGAUGGCCAACUUCCAACACAGUGAAAGCCUUUCCCUAGAGAGGGUGUUACGUGAUGUAACCGCAGACCCAACCAAUCUACCUUUGUGGUUUUUGAAGUCCAUAACAAAAGAUUUCUGUAAGAAUUACGAAAUUGGUCGUGGUGGUUUUGGAGUAGUAUACAAGGUACGUGUGUGGGAGGUUAACUUUGAUACUUCUAUUCUAUGCAGCGAUGUACUCCUUUUUUUUGUCGGAUAAGUUUCCGAUCUAUUCAUCUUUAAUCAUGAUAGUACAACAAACACUAGAAAUAAUAAAAAUUACAUCCAGAUCCGUAGACCACCUAGCGACGACUACAAGCACUGAAGCGAGCCGAAGGCGCGCCGCUGUUAUCGCCCCUCCCUCGCCGGAGCCGGGCAAACCUUGUUGUAGUAGACAGUCGGAAAGUCGUCGUGCUAAGGCCCCAUAGAACCAACACACCAGAACUCUUUCCAUUUUUAUUUACUCCAAAUAUUAGCUUGGUCUACAGUCAAACUUUGUAAACUUUCUCCAAGUAUGUGGAAAAUAUAUGAACAUAUACACCACCAAAUAAAUAUCAUCAGAGUUAUCCUUGAAUAUAUUUUCACAUUAUAGAUUUGUUAUUAUAAAUGUUUAUAUUGUUUUCUACAAACUUGGUAAAAAAUAUAAAGUUUGACAUCAGUCAAGGUUAAUAUGCGGAGUAAAUAUAAACGGAGGCAGUAAUUUCUAUAUAAAAACUUUAUGGUAUGUGUAUAUGUAAGUUUAGAUGCAAGUUUUCAUGGAGACUCAUGUGUUCCACUGUUCAUCCUUCCCUCACGAUGCGUUCCCUAUAUAUCCACCAAAUACAAGUUUUAGAGUGGUUGGGCAUUUUUAGAACCGUUCGUUGAUGUCGAUUUAACGGCAGACAAAUACGAAGUACUGGGUAGUACUCCGAUGAAAGUACUUGAAAGUACUAAAACGAGUGGGGCCGGUACUCAUGACAAGGUGGGGACGCGUUUUAAUCUAGGGGCAGUUUAGUCCUAGGAAAAUUUGCACGCGCCGCCCCUCUCGUCGAAUGAAUAACCGCCGCCAUGGUGCUACACAUUCCACAAUUACUCAUCGGCGGCCAUCUCCUCCCUCUCCUCCAUGUCCACCGCAGUCAUCUCCUCCUUCUUGCCGCUGCAACUUCGCUCCACUCAGGCAACCCCCCCACCCACCCCACCCCUCUUCCAUGGCAGAUCGAGCUGAUGGUCGGCGGCGAGAACACCGACUUCGUGCAGAUCGCCGGCGGCGACCAGGUCAAGUUGGCCAGGUUGAGGGAGAUCCGUUCUUGGUUUGACAACACAAGGCAGAUGAGCUGGACGACAAUGACCACUCUCAAGAAUUUGACGAAGAAAGAGAGGGCAAAGCUUUUCCCCCAGCCCGCGCAACCGAUUCAGAAGAUCGAGAUCCUCCUCUGGGUGAUGGAGCAAGCCAACUCGUCCAGCGAGUGGACCAGGCAGAGGUGGUGGGCGUUCAGAUCCAGGGUAGAGCAUCCACUGGAUCAGGAACCCACCGUGCACGAGGUGCCGUUGCAGAUUGUGCAGCCUCCAACCGAGUCACCGGAGACUUCGAAGCGCAAGAUGAGGAGGACAAUGGUCGCGACCUCGCUUCCCCGCCGUUCUCCACGCUUCCCUCGCCGCUCUCCUCGUCUGAACGGCGGCGGUAGCUAUGUUUAGAGUAAGCUUCCCCACUCCUCAUCUUUCUACUGCUCGUGCUUACAUCGUGGUGAUACUGAUCAUAAUAGCUCAGAGAGGGAAUGCUAGAUGGCAUUUUAAUCUCAAUGAAUUGCAUGAACAUUUGAGUACAUGGAUUUGGAGGAUGGAUUAUGAUGUAUGUGAACCCUAGGCAUCAUAUGAACCCUAGGAAAAAUUAGUAAUGUUCUAGUGGUAGACACUGAAAUAUUUCGGUACAAACCGGUAGGCACUGAAAUAUUUCGGAACUGCCCUAGGCAAAAUUUGUAAUGUUGUAGUGGUGGACACUGAAAUAUUUCGGUACACACCGGUAGGCAUUGAAAUAUUUUGGUACUGCCCUAGGCAAAAUUUGUAAUGUUAUAGUGGUAGACACUGAAAUAUUUUGGUACACACCGGUAGGCACUGAAAUAUUUCGUUACUACAAUUUCAGUACACACCGAUGCACACUAAAUUAUUUCACUACUGCAGUUUCAGUACACACCGGUACACACUGAAAUAUUUCAGUACUGCAAAUUCUAUACAAAGUUGGCAUUUUGUCAUUUAUGUGUGAAUUAAUCCAUGCAUCAUAUGGCCUAACUUUGUACAUGAGUUUGGGUCAAUUUCAUAUCUAUUUAUUGUUAAAAUUAUUGUCAUGCCAUGAAACACAAGACAAGUCACUGACCCAAGCUUGCAAAGAUGCCAUAUCAAUGUUGCUGAUAUGAAAUAUGCAUGUUUUCACCUAGUCUUGUGUCUGAAUUAAAACUGAGCAUUUUUUCUUGAUGGUAUCCAUGGAUCUAGAACUCCUAUGAAUUUGCUCAUGUUGGAUGUUUUGUUCUCCAUCAUUUGUAUUAGCAUUCCGUGCGAUUAGAUGCCAUGACAAGACCCCUGGCAUAUUUAUUUUCUUGCCUCCAACAUCACAUGUGUGUUUUGCAGGAAAAAACCUGGAGUUCACCAGGCUGGCUGAAGUUGUGAGGCUAGGAGGCUGAUGGUGCUGCUACUGGCUGAUCCUUCUUCUUUCAGUUUUUAUUCGUCAUUGGACCAGGGCUACUUCCCUAUGUGCUGUUAAUGUAUUAAGUAGUUCCUUCGAAUUUGUAGUAUUAGUUAGUUUGAAUGUGGAAGUACCUUAAUUUUUAGGAACGAAAUGUUGCUAUGUAUGACCAAGGGUUUCAUACCUUAAUCUUUGGAUAAUUAAUUAUGUGAACUGUUGGAUGUGGCGCAUAACGAAACGCCUCUACCAUUGAUACUAGUUCAACAUGUCGG